CAUGAUGAGACUACAUUGGUCUUGGAUUGUAUAGAGGGUAGUCGCGGUCGCCCCAACUCCGACUCUUGCAUAGUAUACUGUGCUAGAGUAAGGUGAGAAACAACUUUGGUUGGAAACUUUAAUUUUGUUAAGAAAUUAAAGAACCGU
Molecule: non-coding RNA, 147 nt
Filed under: unclassified sequences
Description: IS605-orfB-II RNA
Rfam family: IS605-orfB-II RNA
Source: Rfam by way of RNAcentral